This is a long non-coding RNA of Brassica napus (rape), 1099 nucleotides long. RefSeq lists it as uncharacterized. The record is from RefSeq and is a predicted model, not a curated record. Lineage: Eukaryota; Viridiplantae; Streptophyta; Magnoliopsida; Brassicales; Brassicaceae. The transcript is spliced from 7 exons.
GUUCCUUCUCUCGUGAAUUUAUCGGUUAAAGCAAAUUCUGAUAUGUGUAAAGUUUAGUAAUGUGUCCGGUUUGUUCUCCUUUUUUUGGUGUCUCAUGAAGUCAAAAUCAAUCAAUCAAUCAAUCAGUGGUGGUUGCAUGUCGUCUCUCUCCGUUUAUAAAUUCCUAAUUAGUGUCUGUGGGAUCGGAUCAAGCUUCACACCCAAACCACUUUUAGAAGAAGAACCCUUUCUUUCGUGAGACCUCUCUUCUGCCAUUGAAAUUGCUCUUAAAGCUUCACUAGUCGCCGGAUUAUUCCCUCCUCUCCCUUCUAGUCGCCCUUGUAGCCUCAAGGUACUUCCCCUGUCCAACCUCUCCGUGAUCAUUCAAUAGCCUCCAAAACGUUAUCGGAGUCAAGAUUAAGCUCAAUGUUAAAGAGCUGGCGAUUCAGUUUGGCUGCGUUAGGAUCAUCAAAUCUAUGCAAAACAUGUUAUCUUUAGAGGUUUCUUGCAUCGCUACCUGUGUUUACGCCUGCUGCUUUCUAUUUGUGUGCUAAAAAGCAGAAGCUUAAGGUAGAUAAGCUUAGGUUGGUUGAGGUUUGUGGAACAUCAGAAUCUGAAUUCUCUUGUGUCUUCACCUCCAUGAUAGAUCUUUGCUAUGACUGUGUUGGGGUCUCUAAGGAGAAGAAAGAUGCAAAAGAAGUUAAAGGAAACCGGGAGUUGCUUGAUGUGUUACCUGGAAAGAUCUUUGAGGAUGUGCAAUCUUUUUUAUCUAUAUCACAUAUGGUUCUUACCCAUUGAGAGGGAAGUAUUGUCAUGAGAUGGCUUUGAGGAUCCUCCUUGCCAGCAUUGAGGUUUGUUUAUCUUAACCAUUUCCUCUUUUCGAUAUAACAUUCUUGUGUCUUGUGCUGAUAAACGAUGAGAACACGAUAUGUUGAUUGUGUAAUGUUUUUAUGUCUUUAUGUGUCACGGGUGGAGCAUUGCGAGUUGUUCUGUUGUUUUUUUUUUUUUUUUUGUGUCAUGGAAUAGUUUUGUUGUUUUUUUGUGUCAUUGUCUUUAAAAUACUAUCUUGUACUGAACAACUCUUGUAAACGAUUUGUGCGAUCUUCUCCUUUGUGCGAUC